GAUGAACGCUGGCGGCGUGCCUAAUACAUGCAAGUCGAGCGAACAGACGAGGAGCUUGCUCCUCUGACGUUAGCGGCGGACGGGUGAGUAACACGUGGAUAACCUACCUAUAAGACUGGGAUAACUUCGGGAAACCGGAGCUAAUACCGGAUAAUAUAUUGAACCGCAUUGUUCAAUAGUGAAAGACGGUUUUGCUGUCACUUAUAGAUGUAUCCGCGCCGCAUUAGCUAGUUGGUAAGGUAACGGCUUACCAAGGCAACGAUGCGUAGCCGACCUGAGAGGGUGAUCGGCCACACUGGAACUGAGACACGGUCCAGACUCCUACGGGAGGCAGCAGUAGGGAAUCUUCCGCAAUGGGCGAAAGCUUGACGGAGCAACGCCGCGUGAGUGAUGAAGGUCUUCGGAUCGUAAAACUCUGUUAUUAGGGAAGAACAAAUGUGUAAGUAACUAUGCACGUCUUGACGGUACCUAAUCAGAAAGCCACGGCUAACUACGUG
Molecule: ribosomal RNA, 497 nt
Filed under: uncultured bacterium
Lineage: Bacteria
Description: partial 16S ribosomal RNA
Rfam family: Bacterial small subunit ribosomal RNA
Source: RNAcentral